Molecule: ribosomal RNA, 506 nt
Filed under: Serratia marcescens
Lineage: Bacteria; Pseudomonadati; Pseudomonadota; Gammaproteobacteria; Enterobacterales; Yersiniaceae
Description: bacterial SSU rRNA
Rfam family: Bacterial small subunit ribosomal RNA
Source: RNAcentral
AGGGGGAUAACUACUGGAAACGGUAGCUAAUACCGCAUAACGUCGCAAGACCAAAGAGGGGGACCUUCGGGCCUCUUGCCAUCAGAUGUGCCCAGAUGGGAUUAGCUAGUAGGUGGGGUAAUGGCUCACCUAGGCGACGAUCCCUAGCUGGUCUGAGAGGAUGACCAGCCACACUGGAACUGAGACACGGUCCAGACUCCUACGGGAGGCAGCAGUGGGGAAUAUUGCACAAUGGGCGCAAGCCUGAUGCAGCCAUGCCGCGUGUGUGAAGAAGGCCUUGCGGGUUGUAAAGCACUUUCAGCGAGGAGGAAGGUGGUGAACUUAAUACGUUCAUCAAUUGACGUUACUCGCAGAAGAAGCACCGGCUAACUCCGUGCCAGCAGCCGCGGUAAUACGGAGGGUGCAAGCGUUAAUCGGAAUUACUGGGCGUAAAGCGCACGCAGGCGGUUUGUUAAGUCAGAUGUGAAAUCCCCGGGCUCAACCUGGGAACUGCAUUUGAAACUGGC